RNAcentral lists this ribosomal RNA (1127 nucleotides) under Janthinobacterium lividum. Its description in RNAcentral is "bacterial SSU rRNA". It matches the Rfam family "Bacterial small subunit ribosomal RNA", at positions 50 to 1171 of the family's 1533-position model. Lineage: Bacteria; Pseudomonadati; Pseudomonadota; Betaproteobacteria; Burkholderiales; Oxalobacteraceae. The record is from RNAcentral.
UUAACAUGCAAGUCGAACGGCAGCACGGAGCUUGCUCUGGUGGCGAGUGGCGAACGGGUGAGUAAUAUAUCGGAACGUACCCUAGAGUGGGGGAUAACGUAGCGAAAGUUACGCUAAUACCGCAUACGAUCUAAGGAUGAAAGUGGGGGAUCGCAAGACCUCAUGCUCGUGGAGCGGCCGAUAUCUGAUUAGCUAGUUGGUAGGGUAAAAGCCUACCAAGGCAUCGAUCAGUAGCUGGUCUGAGAGGACGACCAGCCACACUGGAACUGAGACACGGUCCAGACUCCUACGGGAGGCAGCAGUGGGGAAUUUUGGACAAUGGGCGAAAGCCUGAUCCAGCAAUGCCGCGUGAGUGAAGAAGGCCUUCGGGUUGUAAAGCUCUUUUGUCAGGGAAGAAACGGUGAGAGCUAAUAUCUCUUGCUAAUGACGGUACCUGAAGAAUAAGCACCGGCUAACUACGUGCCAGCAGCCGCGGUAAUACGUAGGGUGCAAGCGUUAAUCGGAAUUACUGGGCGUAAAGCGUGCGCAGGCGGUUUUGUAAGUCUGAUGUGAAAUCCCCGGGCUCAACCUGGGAAUUGCAUUGGAGACUGCAAGGCUAGAAUCUGGCAGAGGGGGGUAGAAUUCCACGUGUAGCAGUGAAAUGCGUAGAUAUGUGGAGGAACACCGAUGGCGAAGGCAGCCCCCUGGGUCAAGAUUGACGCUCAUGCACGAAAGCGUGGGGAGCAAACAGGAUUAGAUACCCUGGUAGUCCACGCCCUAAACGAUGUCUACUAGUUGUCGGGUCUUAAUUGACUUGGUAACGCAGCUAACGCGUGAAGUAGACCGCCUGGGGAGUACGGUCGCAAGAUUAAAACUCAAAGGAAUUGACGGGGACCCGCACAAGCGGUGGAUGAUGUGGAUUAAUUCGAUGCAACGCGAAAAACCUUACCUACCCUUGACAUGGCUGGAAUCCUUGAGAGAUUGGGGAGUGCUCGAAAGAGAACCAGUACACAGGUGCUGCAUGGCUGUCGUCAGCUCGUGUCCUGAAAAUUUUGGGUUAAGUCCCGCAACGAGCGCAACCCUUGUCAUUUAGUUGCUACCAAAAGGGCACUUUUAAUGGAAACUGCCCGGGGACAAACCCGGGGGAA